AACUGGAAAUGCACUACUCUCACACACCACAGUACACAGGUUCGAAUCCAGGUU
This 54-nucleotide transfer RNA is filed under the name Eutreptiella gymnastica. RNAcentral describes it as "partial tRNA". The record is from RNAcentral. Lineage: Eukaryota; Euglenozoa; Euglenophyceae; Eutreptiales; Eutreptiaceae.